This is an RNA transcript of Dermacentor albipictus, 1255 nucleotides long. RefSeq lists it as uncharacterized. NCBI's taxonomy places the organism in Eukaryota, Metazoa, Arthropoda, Arachnida, Ixodida, Ixodidae. The record is from RefSeq and is a predicted model, not a curated record.
UAUGACUGAUAAACCUUGAACGUCUGCGUCUAGCACGAGGCAAUAUCAGGAUCGGACAUCCGCUUUCCUUCGUAUAAAUAGGCGCCGCAAGGAAUGUUUUCUCAGUACCCUGCGACCAGACAACUGCACGUAUUUCUACUUCACUCCGACAAAGACAGCGAUUUCGCGAUGCAGACAUUCGGAAUCAUCGUGUGCUUAGGACUUUUAGCAACAGCAUGUGCGGCCACCCUGUAAGUAUACAGGAACCCUGCUUGGUCAUCCGUUCAAAUUUUGGAUUCGUAAGUCCCCGGAAAAUGAGCAUGCACUUCAGCAAACGGAGCAAGAGAAAAAGCUCCAGGCUUCUGUCAUCCAGCUUUGGGAAUCAGUGGUCAGAUGGAUUAAAACUAACAAGGGGUUAGAGCCGGCAGAGUUGCAGCAGCGUCUCAAGAGGCUAGUGGACGAGGCUGUCAAAGAAUGCAAUGUACUGGACGUCCUAGAGGACAAAGACGACGCGGAAGACGACAGUGAUGCCGUGGUCGAGUAUGGACUCGGCAAGAAGUUGAAGAAGUGGAGGAAGAAGGCGAAGAAGGCCCUUGUCGACGCUGCGAAGGCGGUCGCUGUUAACAAGGUGGUCGGUGCCGCAGCUGGCGCUCUCGGAUGAAGAAUGUCAAGUUUGCAGAAAAAGAACCGACAUCUUUGAAAGGCAUUUCCUUAGGUCACCAAAGACUAAGGUCGUAGUGUGAUAUUACUAACCAAUGAAAAUAAUUUAUCUAUUAAAAUCUUUUUUGUUGUUGAAAGAUAAACAUGCAUCUUUUAUUUUUGCUUUCGUUCGAACAGCGUUCGACUAGGGAGAAAGUAAAGCCCAAUAUUUUGCGUACAAGACAUUAUUAUGCAUUGCAUGUAUCUCACUAUUAUGCUAGAUCUAUAUCGGGCAUAGUUUUGAAGUUGCACUGAAAGUUUAGAAAUCGCCCGUGCCAGCUAGACAAUUGAAGUCUUUCAACUAAACUAUCCUAUGGAGUGGACAUGCCCUCCACAAUAAAGCAUCGUCCGUGACUGACUAACUGAAUUCAUUACGUUGCACUGUGUUAUACGCUGGCAAAACAACGACAAGGAAGACAAGAAGGACGCGCACGGACGAAGCAUGCACUACCAACCCUCUAUAUUUGUUAAAAAGCACUUUCAUAUAAAAUGUAUGUCCCUCCUUGCCGCGCCCCUUUUUGCACUUUGUAUAUCGACGCGUUCUCUAACAAAAAUAAAGACUUAGUUGUUUGCCCUU